This 1382-nucleotide ribosomal RNA is filed under the name metagenome. RNAcentral describes it as "bacterial LSU rRNA". It matches the Rfam family "Bacterial large subunit ribosomal RNA", at positions 1471 to 2925 of the family's 2925-position model. The record is from RNAcentral.
GACGCUUUAGAAGUGAUGUUGCCGGGCGAUGGUUGACCCGGUCGUAAGGGAUCGAAAAUGAGUAGAGAAGUCAUCAUGGAAAGAGACAAGAAAAGCUGUAUGAAUAUCUUAGGUGCCCGUACCGCAAACCGACACAGGUAGAUAGGAAGAAGAUUCUAAGGCCAACGGGAGAAGGGUUGUUAAGGAACUCGGCAAGUUGACCCCGUAACUUAGGGAUAAGGGGUGCUCAAGUGAUUGAGCCGCAGAGAAUAGGCCCAGGCGACUGUUUAGCAAAAACACAGGUCUCUGCUAAAUCGAAAGAUGACGUAUAGGGGCUGACACCUGCCCGGUGCCGGAAGGUUAAGAGGAGAUGUGAGAGCAUUGAAUUGAAGCCCCGGUAAACGGCGGCCGUAACAAUAACGGUCCUAAGGUAGCGAAAUUCCUUGUCAGGUAAGUUCUGACCCGCACGAAAGGUGUAACGAUCUGGGCACUGUCUCAACAACCCGCCCGGCGAAAUUGUAGUACCGGUGAAGAUGCCGGUUACCCGCGACUAGACGGAAAGACCCCAUGGAGCUUUACUGUAGCCUAAUAUUGGAUUUCGGUAUUUCACGUACAGGAUAGGUGGGAGACUGGGAAGCACAGGCGUCAGCUUGUGUGGAGUCGACCUUGGGAUACCACUCUUGGAGUGCUGGAAUUCUAACCUGCGGCUUUGAAGCAAGUCGGGGGACAUUGUUAGGUGGGCAGUUUGACUGGGGCGGUCGCCUCCUAAAGAGUAACGGAGGCGCUCAAAGGUUCGCUCUGCAUGGAUGGAAACCAUGCGUCAGAGUGUAAACGCAAAAGCGAGCCUAACUGCGAGAAUGACGGUUCGAGCAGUAACGAAAGUUGGAGUUAGUGAUCCGGCGGUAUGUGAAUGGAAAUGCCGUCGCUCAACGGAUAAAAGCUACCCUGGGGAUAACAGGCUGAUCUCCCCCAAGAGUCCACAUCGACGGGGAGGUUUGGCACCUCGAUGUCGGCUCAUCGCAUCCUGGGGCUGAAUUCGGUCCCAAGGGUUUGGCUGUUCGCCAAUUAAAGCGGUACGCGAGCUGGGUUCAGAACGUCGUGAGACAGUUCGGUCCCUAUCUGUCGUGGGCGUAGGAUAUUUGCAAGGAGCUGUCCCUAGUACGAGAGGACCGGGAUGGACGCACCUCUGGUGCACCAGUUGUCACGCCAGUGGCACAGCUGGGCAGCUAUGUGCGGAACGGAUAAACGCUGAAGGCAUCUAAGCGUGAAGCCGCCCUUAAGAUAAGAUAUCCCUUCUGUUUACAGAGUAAGACCCCUUGAAGACUACAAGGUUGAUAGGCUCAAAGUGUAAGCACGGUGACGUGUUUAGCUAGCGAGUACUAAUCGGUCGAGGGCUUAACCAA